This 482-nucleotide ribosomal RNA is filed under the name Malassezia restricta. RNAcentral's name for it is "partial large subunit ribosomal RNA". It matches the Rfam family "Eukaryotic large subunit ribosomal RNA", at positions 120 to 605 of the family's 3401-position model. Lineage: Eukaryota; Fungi; Basidiomycota; Malasseziomycetes; Malasseziales; Malasseziaceae. The record is from RNAcentral.
AGCUGGCACUCUUCGGCGUCCGCGUUGUAAUCUCGAGACGUGUUUUCCGUGCGGCUCUAUGGACAAGUCCCUUGGAACAGGGCAUCGUAGAGGGUGAAAAUCCCGUACUUGCCAUGGAAGAACCGUGCUUUGUGAUACACGCUCCAAGAGUCGAGUUGUUUGGGAUUGCUGCUCAAAGUGGGUGGUAGACUCCAUCUAAAGCUAAAUAUCGGGGAGAGACCGAUAGCGAACAAGUACCGUGAGGGAAAGAUGAAAAGCACUUUGGAAAGAGAGUUAAAAGUACGUGAAAUUGUCGAAAGGGAAGCACUUGAAGUCAGCCAUGCUGCUUGAGACUCAGCCUGGCCUUUGGGCGUGGUGUUUUUCUCGAGGGCGCCCCCAUUUUGUUUUGUCUCCUCAGAAAAGCAUGGAGAAAAUGGGAUCCCCCCAGACGUGUUAUACCCUUGUGGGAGACAACAACACCUACAUCAGGGAACGCUGUGUGC